UGGGGCAUUAGCUCAGCUGGGAGAGUGCUUGCAUGGCAUGCAAGAGGUCACGGGUUCGAGCCCCGUAUGCUCCAUC
Molecule: transfer RNA, 76 nt
Filed under: Pullulanibacillus camelliae
Lineage: Bacteria; Bacillati; Bacillota; Bacilli; Caryophanales; Sporolactobacillaceae
Description: tRNA-Ala
Rfam family: tRNA
About the family: Transfer RNA (tRNA) molecules are approximately 80 nucleotides in length. Their secondary structure includes four short double-helical elements and three loops (D, anti-codon, and T loops).
Source: RNAcentral